UGGAGGGGAUUUUUCCGCAAUGGGCGAAAGCCUGACGGAGCAAUGCCGCGUGGAGGUGGAAGGCCUACGGGUCGUCAACUUUACUUUUCUCGGAGAAGAAACAAUGACGGUAUCUGAGGAAUAAGCAUCGGCUAACUCUGUGCCAG
Molecule: ribosomal RNA, 146 nt
Filed under: uncultured bacterium
Lineage: Bacteria
Description: partial 16S rRNA
Rfam family: Bacterial small subunit ribosomal RNA
Source: RNAcentral